RNAcentral lists this ribosomal RNA (429 nucleotides) under Triticum aestivum (bread wheat). RNAcentral describes it as "partial small subunit ribosomal RNA". The record is from RNAcentral. Lineage: Eukaryota; Viridiplantae; Streptophyta; Magnoliopsida; Poales; Poaceae.
AUGUUCCCGCAGCUCAAGCAUCUGCAGAUAAUAUUGACUGUAUAUCAUAAAGAUGACGACAAGAUUCUCUACUUGGUUUCCCUUUUGAGGGCUGCUCCGUUUAUUGAACACUUGGAAGUACAUGUGAGUAUUUUCUUGUCGGAUGGGCCUUCGAGACAAGACAUUCCACAAUCCGAACACAAAUACCUACACCUGAAGAAUAUGCAUGUCACAGGAUUCAAAGCCACGAAAGGCCAGCUUCAACUCAUGUUUCAUGUCGUGGAAAACGCCCCUGCGAUAGAGACUGUGACCGUAGAUACAAUUCAAAGACGGUAUGAUCUGUUGGAUCCAGAUGAGAUUCUCCCGGCACUCCGCAGCUCGGCCCUUGAUAUUGUCAAGGAUCCUCUCUCUAAGAGACUUCCACCAGAUGCCAAGCUCUACCUUCUGUAA